RNAcentral lists this ribosomal RNA (253 nucleotides) under uncultured bacterium. RNAcentral's name for it is "partial 16S ribosomal RNA". It matches the Rfam family "Bacterial small subunit ribosomal RNA", at positions 524 to 776 of the family's 1533-position model. The record is from RNAcentral.
UACGGAGGGUGCGAGCGUUGUCCGGAAUCACUGGGCGUAAAGCGUGCGCAGGCGGUUUUGUAAGUCGGAUGUGAAAUCCCCGGGCUUAACCUGGGAAUGGCAUUCGGGACUGCAAGGCUGGAGUGCGGCAGAGGAGACUGGAAUUCCUGGUGUAGCAGUGAAAUGCGUAGAUAUCAGGAGGAACACCGAUGGCGAAGGCAGGUCUCUGGGCUGACACUGACGCUCAUGCACGAAAGCGUGGGGAGCAAACAGG